Meleagris gallopavo (turkey) is the source of this 3562-nucleotide non-coding RNA. NCBI's taxonomy places the organism in Eukaryota, Metazoa, Chordata, Aves, Galliformes, Phasianidae. The record is from RefSeq and is a predicted model, not a curated record.
AGGUUGUCCGGUGAGGUUGUAGAUGCCCCCACCCUGGAAGCGUUCAAGACCAGGAUGGAACAGGGCUUUGAGCAACAUGGUCUAGAGGGAGGUGUCCCUGCCUAUAACAGAGGAGUUGGAACUGGAUGAUCCUUUCCAACCCAAACCAUUCUAUGAUUCUGACAUGUGAUAAGAACUGGUCAUGAUGUUCGCCUUGAGAUGGCCUAAGUACCGUGAGGCACUAAUGGAUGAAUGGUUGAUUUAUUUAUUUAUUACUUGGCAGUCAUGCAAGGGAGGGCAGGAAAGGGAACCAAGACAAGAGACUGCUCCAUGAUCAUUAUUCUGUUCCUGAAGGCUGGCAUCUGGACAUGGAAGGAACCAGACCACCAAACAAGUCCAUCCUCUGUCCCCCAAGCAGCCCUUGACCCUCUAUGAGAUAGAUAAGUCAGCUCCAAACUGCAAUCCUUCUUGGGCCUGCAGGUCCCUGGAAGCUCAAUAAUUCCUCCCUAUCCCUACCCCAAAAUUAUGUAAGCUUUGCUGAGACAAGGCCUCAAAGAAGGUGCUGACAUCAGCACUAGUGAUUACAGCUGCCAUAGUUACAUGGGGCUUGUGACACAGGAUGUUCCGGAGGGCAAGGGAAAAGGAUGGCAAUUGAGAAUCCUGGUGAGCAGGGCCAUGCAGAGGUGGGCAGGAUUGGGAAGUGAGGUAUAUGGCUACUCCUUGUCGCUUCUCCUGUUUUUUAUAGCUGGACAUCUGGACAAGGAUGGAGCCAGACCACUGAAAAUGUCCUGAGACCUGCCUACACUCUACAGGACAGAAGGAUAGACAAGUCGGCCCCAGACUAGACCUCUUCUGGGUCCUACAGGUCCAUGGAAGCUCCUUCAGAUGCUCCUUUACCUACUCCUACCUUUUCUCUUAGCUCCACGGAAGGUGCAGGCACCAGCACUAGUGAACACACUGGCCAUGCCAGCAUGGGGGUUGGUGAUCAAGGGAGCACCAGGCUACUACAAAGCAGGCUGUCAUAUAAGCAACCUGGUGAGCAGGAAUGUGCAAGGGAGGGCAAGACAGACAAGCAAGUCAGGUGGCUGCUAGUUGUUGCUUCUGUGUCUUUCAGUUGAAUACGUAGACAUGGAUGGAACCAGAUCAUCUCUGUUCCCCAGACACCUGCCAACACUCUACAAAACAGCUAACCUGGUUUGCUGAGACCUGGACCCAAAGAAAGGGCUGGCACUAGCCCUAGAGAUUGCAGUGGCCAAUGUGAGUGUGAGCUGGACAUCCAAAGAAGGAUGGAACCAGACCACUGAAAAUGCCCAAAGAGCUCUCCACACUCUGCAAGAUGGAUAAGUCAGCCUAGAACUGUACUCCCUCUGGGUCCAACAGGACUAUGGGACCUUUCUAGUCUCUCCCCAACCCUAUGCCAAAGUUUUGCGUGGUUUGCUGAGACCAAGCCCCAAAGAAAUGUGUAGGUAGCAGGCUUUGUAAUUUCAGCAGCCAUGCCAGUGCGGGGUUGUUUACGCAGUCUGCCACAAACUGCUACAGAACAGGCUGGCAGACAACAACCUGGUGAGUAGGGCCAUGCAGUGGAAGGAAGCACAGGCAAUCAGGGCAGACAGCUGUUUCUUUGUUGCUUCUCCUGUGUCUAGUAGCUGGACAUCUGGACACCAGUGGAACCAAACACGCUUGUCUUUUCACCCCUUGACAGCUGUCCACAAUCUACAGUCAGCCCCAAACUGGGUCCUACAGGAUCCUGGAAGAUCCCUAAGUUCUCCCUAUCCCUCCUCCAGUAUUUUACAUGGUAUGCUGAGACAAGGGCCAAAAUAAAGGUGCUGCUACCAACCUUGGUGAUUGCACUGGCAAAGUUAAUGUGAAGUUAGUGACAUAGGAAGUUCCAGAUGGCAACAAGAAAUGCAGGGACGCAAGCUAUCUGAUGAGCUGGGUCAUGCAGAGGAGAGAAAGACUGGGAAGGAGAGCAAACAGCUAUUCCUUGUGUUUUUUCCUGUUUUGUUUUUUGUUUUGUUUUGUUUUGUUUUGUUUUGCAGCUGGACAUCUAGACAAGAAUGAAGCCAGACCAUUGAAAAUGCCCUACGCUCUACAUGACAGAUAAGUCAGCCCCAGGCUGUACUCCUUCGGGGUCCUACAGGCCCCUAGAAGCUCCCUAAGAUGCCUCUUCACCUACUCCCAUAUUUUUUCCUGGUUUCCAAGAGCUGACCUCACAGAAGGUGCAAGCACCAGCAGUGAUUGCACUGUGUGGUUGGUUACAAAGGAAAGCUUCAGAUGGCAACAAAAAACUCUGGAAGAUACGCUAUCUGCUGAACAACUGGAUAAGGAUGACACUAGGCCUCUGAAAACAGCCUGAGAACUGUCUUCACUCUACAGGCCUGUUAAAUCAGUCCCAGACUGUACCCCUUCCGGGUCCUACAGAACCUUGGAAUCUCCCUACAAUGCCCCUCUUCCUACCAUCAAUUUUUUGCCUAGUUUAUCAAGACAUACCCACAAGAAAUGGUGGCACCAGCCCUGGUGACUGCAGUCACCAUGUCAGUGCAGGGUUGUUGCCACAGUCAGCCCCAUACUACAGCAAAACGUCCUGACAGACAAGCAGUGUGGUGAGCAGGGCCGUGCAGUAGAGAAGAAGGACACAGAAGCAGAGUAGGUGGCUGCUUCAUUGUUGCUUCUCCUAUGUCUUGCAGCUGGAUAUCUGGACACAGAUAGAACCAGACCACCAAACACAUCUGUCCUCUCACUGCAGAUGUUUGCCAGCAGUCUAAAGGACAGAUAAGUCACCCCCAAACUGUAGUCCUUCUGGGUCCUGCAGGAUCCUGAAAACUCUUUACUGUGCUCCUCCCCCCAUCAUGACAAAGAAGCAGGGUAGGUUAUUUGUUUUUCUCCAUGCUGGACAUUUGGUCUUGACAGGAUCCAGACCAACAAACACUCCUGCCCUCAUCCUCCAGACAGCUUUCAACACUCUACAGGACAGGUAAGGCAGGCAUGCACAGAGAGUUCCCCAUACUCUUGCUGUGUGUAUUCACAGGCCAUGCAUGAUGAGAGCUGACCACAUUCUCAUUGGUGCUCUGCACCUACUCCGAGUACUGGUUGGAUCCCUCUCACAGUGAGCAGGUGGCUGGCCCACACCUGGAUACCAGGGCUAUCACAGAGCUCUGGGAUGGACAGCUCAGGCAUGGAAUUUGGAGAGGCCCAGGUAGGCAGACCAGGACCUGUCUGUGGUGGUGGAAGGGGUCUGGCUGCAUCUCUUGAUUCUUCUGUCCUUCACAGUAACAGCCCAUACAGGGGCGCAGACACAUUACAGGCUCCACUAAACAGCAAGUAUCUGAACUUGUACAAGACACCGUCCUCAGGAUGAGGACACUACACUGCAUUAUGGUCUUACCAGCAGUUGGAGGAUGCAUGCGCCAUGGACACAGGGAGCUCCCCAACACCUGCCAUCUGCAUACCCCAGCACAGACCGACUGGUAGUUGGAAGCUCUCCAUCAACUUGGACAAAGAGCUGCACACCAAUCACCUUAUCUCAUUAACUUACCACAGAAUAAUAAAUAAGCUCUAAACCAUUAAAAGGAAGUUACUAAUU